GGAUGUUGGGGAAUUAAUGUAUCACUGAAGACAAUAGAAAACAGCAAGAGGAGAUAGUCAACAGUUAUCAAAUACCACAAGAGGUCAAAUAAGACAAGAACAGAAAACUGCCUACUGUAUUUGUCAGGUCUGUGGGGACUUUUGACAGCAGUUUCAGUGGAGGGGUGAGAACAGAAGACUGAGCGCGAUGGGCUUUCCCAAACCAGCAAUUCUAAUACUUGUAUACCUUUGGAGGAUGACAGCAUGUCGUUAUGUAUAUACCGGCUUAAAAGAUAAUUUGCGCAUGCACUGCUUCGCAUCAUAUCAACGAUGAAGCCAUCAAGUACACUGGGAUGUCACAGAAGUCCUCCAAAGUACCUAAGAAGAGCUCUCAUAUUCUCCUUGUCUUCUCAUCUUAUAUCUUCAAAGAACUGAUUCAAAAUGCAUUAAAGGCAACACUAAAGAACUGCUUAAAAUAGAGCAAAGGUGCAUCAGGAAAGACACCAUUUGUGUGAUGUGGAAGGCCACUAUAAACUAUGCUUUGAAA
Molecule: long non-coding RNA, 526 nt
Organism: Fukomys damarensis (Damara mole-rat)
Lineage: Eukaryota; Metazoa; Chordata; Mammalia; Rodentia; Bathyergidae
Exons: 3
Source: RefSeq, a predicted model, not a curated record